GACGAACCGUGCGAACGUUGUUCGGAUUCAAUGGGCUUAAAGGGCGCGUAGGCGGGUCAUCAAGGUCGGGGUGAAAUCUUUCAGAUUAACUGGAAAAGUGCCUAGAAUACUGAUGGUCUUGAGGGAGGUAGGAGCAUGUGGACCUUCCGGUGGAGCGGUGUAAUGCGUAGAGAUCGGAAGGAACGCCGGCGGCGAAAGCGACGUGCUGGACCUUUUCUGACUCUGAGGCGUGAAUGCCAGGGGAGCGAUUGAG
RNAcentral lists this ribosomal RNA (253 nucleotides) under uncultured bacterium. Its description in RNAcentral is "partial 16S ribosomal RNA". It matches the Rfam family "Bacterial small subunit ribosomal RNA", at positions 524 to 776 of the family's 1533-position model. The record is from RNAcentral.